RNAcentral lists this ribosomal RNA (274 nucleotides) under uncultured bacterium. RNAcentral describes it as "partial 16S ribosomal RNA". It matches the Rfam family "Bacterial small subunit ribosomal RNA", at positions 523 to 796 of the family's 1533-position model. The record is from RNAcentral.
AUACGGAGGGUGCAAGCGUUGUUCGGAAUUACUGGGCGUAAAGCGCGCGUAGGUGGUCUGUUAUGUCAGAUGUGAAAGUCCACGGCUCAACCGUGGAAGUGCAUUUGAAACUGGCAGACUUGAGUACUGGAGGGGGUAGUGGAAUUCCCGGUGUAGAGGUGAAAUUCGUAGAUAUCGGGAGGAAUACCGGUGGCGAAGGCGACUACCUGGCCAGAUACUGACACUGAGGUGCGAAAGCGUGGGGAGCAAACAGGAUUAGAAACCCGGGUAGUCC